GACGAACGCUGGCGGCGUGCUUAACACAUGCAAGUCGAACGGAAAGGCCCUGCUUUUUUGGGGUUCUCGAGUGGCGAACGCGUGAGUAACACGUGUGUAACCUGCCCUUGACUUUGGGAUAACUUCAGGAAACUGGGGCUAAUACCGGAUAGGAUCUCCUGCUGCAUGGUGGGGGUUGGAAAGUUUCGGCGGUUGGGGUUGGACUCGCGGCUUAUCAGCUUGUUGGUGGGGUAGUGGCUUACCGAGGCUUUGACGGGUAGCCGGCCUGAGAGGGUGACCGGCCACAUUGGGACUGAGAUACGGCCCAGACUCCUACGGGAGGCAGCAGUGGGGAAUAUUGCACAGUGGGCGGAAGCCUGAUGCAGCAACGCCGCGUGCGGGAUGACGGCCUUCGGGUUGUAAACCGCUUUCGCCUGUGACGAAGCGUGAGUGACGGUAAUGGGUAAAGAAGCACCGGCUAACUACGUG
This 468-nucleotide ribosomal RNA is filed under the name uncultured bacterium. Its description in RNAcentral is "partial 16S ribosomal RNA". It matches the Rfam family "Bacterial small subunit ribosomal RNA", at positions 28 to 507 of the family's 1533-position model. The record is from RNAcentral.